This 219-nucleotide long non-coding RNA is filed under the name Gallus gallus (chicken). Lineage: Eukaryota; Metazoa; Chordata; Aves; Galliformes; Phasianidae. The record is from RNAcentral.
CUCAUUAAGUACUAGAAACAUAGGUGCGUUAGGAUUCCAUAUUCCAGUAAUUACAUAAGCCUUCCCAUCAGAGCUUUUUCCCAUGGAUUCCAUGUCUAGUAAAUGCAUGUCACUGUUCUUCACGUUUCUUCCAGGACUCAGCAGCAUCCCAAAGCAUCUUUCAAUGGCCAGUUCUUUGUUCGAGAGCUGUUGAACUGUAAUCACCACUUUCUUCUCAAU